GCCCAGGUAGCUCAGUGGUAGAGCACCUCUUUGGUAAAGAGGAGGUCGGCAGUUCGAUCCUGCUCCUGGGCUCCA
RNAcentral lists this transfer RNA (75 nucleotides) under Armatimonadota bacterium. RNAcentral's name for it is "Armatimonadetes bacterium (activated sludge metagenome) tRNA-Thr". It matches the Rfam family "tRNA". Rfam says of the family: Transfer RNA (tRNA) molecules are approximately 80 nucleotides in length. The record is from RNAcentral. Lineage: Bacteria; Bacillati; Armatimonadota.